AGAAAUUACGACCAGACAUUUCAGGCCAUGAGUAAUGAACUGACCAAUUAAAGUGUCCCUGUCUGCAUUCUAUGCAUAAUUAAAGAUGAAUACAGGUAAUUACUUUGGGCCAAGGUGCUAAAAACAAUUACUAUUGAUAAUAAUGGCCCUGUCAACAUGACGAAUGGGGUUGUCAGAUUCACACGUACAAAAACUACAAAAUCCAAGCAUGUAAACUUGAAAGGCAAAGACAAGCUUGUAUAAUAAAAACCUAUGAUAUAAUGACAUGCAAAGAAUACACAACAAGUGUGUUUGCGUGAAUUAUUUCUGGAAAAUUUAUUUUACUAUCAGAAAGUUAGAUAUUGACUGUUGAAUUCAUACGUACUGCCUAAAUUUUAUCAAAAUGGACAAACUUUAAAAUUGAUUAAUUUCAAAUAAUCUGAAGUGUAUUCUUAUCUUCUGGAAAGCUUUUCUAAAAAGUAGGCAGUCUUCUCUCAGUCUUCUCUACAUCCUGUAAAAAUUUUGUUACUGUUAGCCAUCUGCAGCAAGCUGGUCGCGGUCAUUAUUUGUCAAAUCUGCAGAGUAAAAUGUGUUGACUUCAUAUAUUGCACAAAUAUUUUGUUUAGUUAGUCUAGUACAUAAUUGGAAUGAGCAGAAUCUCUUCUCUACUUCUGCCAAAUUAUAACCUACUUGACCUCACAAAACUGACACAAAUGUCAAAUUUGUCUGCCAAACCCACAAUAACAUCUUUAAUGGUCUUAGUCCCACUUUAGCAAAACAGAGGUCUGCCAACACUAGCUUGGGUACCUAUACUUUACCAAUUUGGCCAGCCAGAACCCCCAAUUUCCUGGGAUGCUUGGUUUGGUGUGUCUGUGUUUUGUUGUUUAUCUUUUUGUUGAAGAGAACAUUUAAUUUCAUGCGAACUACUACUACUGCCAGUCGAAUUUGCGAAUUAUCAUCAUGAACACAAAAGAGGCGAGAAUCCAGGUCAUAGUUGGUGGCAUCACGGGGGAAAGUGGAAUUAGAAGUUUUUGUUUGGGUAUUUGCCAUGAACUUCAAGGAAAGAUCACAUUACAAACAAAACCCAUAAAACAGUUUGGAGUUUUGCAACAUGAAUGAGGUCUUUGUGAUUCUUGGUUAGACAAAAGGGAAUCAUGAUAUAAAGUGGUAUUCUCACUGAUGAUCUUUUCUAAAAUCUUGAAUUUUUUCUUUAAAGUGCACUUCAUAUUUUCAAGUCCAGAGUACUAGUAUUGUUGAAAUACUUGAUAUGUUUUCGUCAAAAAGGUUGAAACAGGGACCUCCUUGGUUUUUGAGUAAGAAAAGAGUAGACACAGAAAGAACUAAUUCAAAAUAAUUUCCAUAGAAAAUAUUUUGCUUCUACACAAACAAAUGUCUGGGAAGACAAUUUUCCAGACAUAACAUUAUCCCCAAUCUUAUAUUAAAAUGGAAUAAGCUAAUAGCUUCUGUGCUAAUGUCUCCACCUAUAGCUAGUACAUACAUGACAAUAGGGAGCCAAGAGAGGUGUCAAUGCUGGGCAGGCUUUAUCAUUCAAAUUCCUGUUGCACACUUGACAAAACACCUUGAGAGCUUGACAGAACCAGGAAAAAACUGCCAUACAACAAUAAUUACAGUUACAGUAACUCAAGGAGCUUUCAUCAUUCAUUUGUGAUGAUAGCUCCUUGAGUAACCGUAGUGUUAUCUCUGUGUGUAAAAUGAAAAACUUUACAGUGUUCUACGACAGGCUUUUCCCUGUCUUAAAAAGUUUAAGCCAUCAAUUCAAGAG
Branchiostoma floridae (Florida lancelet) is the source of this 1762-nucleotide long non-coding RNA. RefSeq lists it as uncharacterized. The transcript has 3 exons. The record is from RefSeq and is a predicted model, not a curated record. NCBI's taxonomy places the organism in Eukaryota, Metazoa, Chordata, Leptocardii, Amphioxiformes, Branchiostomatidae.